Molecule: long non-coding RNA, 3602 nt
Organism: Hordeum vulgare subsp. vulgare (domesticated barley)
Lineage: Eukaryota; Viridiplantae; Streptophyta; Magnoliopsida; Poales; Poaceae
Exons: 2
Source: RefSeq, a predicted model, not a curated record
UCGUCAGGUCCAGGAUCCGACGGGCGAGGAGGCGAUGGGCCGGCGACUGCCCGGCGACGAUGCUUGGAGGCGACGGGCCGGAGACGGACUGGCGACGGCGCGCUGAGGCGGAGAGGGCCGGGCGUGAAGAGCAUGGCGAUGCGGCGACGGGGACGGGGAUGGCGAUGCGGCGACGGGGAUGGGACUGGAUCCGGUUGGAAGUAGUGCUCAGAGGGUGGAUGUGGAAGGAAGGCGGCCGGAGCUUGGAGCACGACGGCUGUCGGAGGUGGCAUGGCGUCAGGUACCUGUGAGAGAGGAGAGAUAUAUACGAGAAGGAGAGGAAAGGGAGCAUGGGAGGAAGGAUAUGGGAUGCUGCAUGGAGAGAGAAUGGAGGUGUCCACCAUUCUCGCGGACCCGUCGUCCAUCACGAGGGCCGGCAACCACCGCCACCGCUGUCGCCAGCAACAGAAGUUGUAGCAGGCGCGACUGGAGAUCCCCUCAUGGGGUCGACGCCGCCCGAGAAGCGUGGGCGUCACCAGCCCGGAGACCCUACUCGCCUUCCCCGAGCACGACGAGGCGCCAGCGACGGAGGAAGAGGCCACCGUGCAGUGCAAGGUGAGCCGCCGGGACGCGAUUUCAUUUUCUUGCAGCUUGUUGGCGUGCUCCUCCCCCCAUCAGCCUCCACUAAGUGGGCGUUGGAGGUCUUCCUCUCUACCUACCCUCCAGCAGCACCUUCGUUGCCCUGUUCUUCUUUCGUAAGAUGAGAUUGUUGUGCCGGAACUGUCCAAUGUCGCCUCCACCUACUUCAUCAGAAGACCAUCUGCAAUCCUACGUUGCUCCACACAUCGCCGGAAAUCCGGGUGCCGGUUCUCCAUGAGGUAUUGCAUACUGAAGCCACAAGGAGAAUUGGAAUUAUGCUAUUUGUUUUUCUAGAAAUGUACGGUUAAUGAAGCAAACACAAACUGAACCUUAAUGUGCUGCUUCCUGAUCUUUAAUUAUUUUUUCAUUAAUUGGUUCAUUUGUUGUGUUUAGUUAGUCUAUCCAUAAGCUAGAGAGACUAAGAAUAAAAAUAACAAUGUUUAAGGUAACGAUUCACUAUGUACAGGUUGCCACGAUAUCAUAUUUGAUUGGGUCACAGUCACAAGUAUUUCAAGGGUACAAUCAAGUUGAGAAGCACCAGCUUAAAUUCAGCAAAACAUUUUUGGUGUGAUCUCAAAUCUGCACACGAUUUUCUGAAACCACAUUACAUAAUAUGAACUAUGGAAGUACACCCAGCCAUUGUGGAUUUCUUAAUUGAGAGACAACUAAUUUCUCAUUGAUUGAUUCAUCAUGCUUACAUGCCCUGUCCUCAGAGACUAACAUUGUUCUUCGAUCUGAUUGAUUCACUUUAGUUACAUUUUUCGGUAGCUUCAGCUCUGUACAUGAGCAUAAAAAGGUGUUUGUCGUUUAGAUGAAUUAACUGUUGGAUACUCCAUAAAAGAGGUACGCCCAUCGCAUGAUUUGGAAGAAUAAGGUGUGUGCUAUACUUGAACAGAUUUCCUUUUGGGAGACCAUUUAGCAUGGUUUGCUGGUUAGCCUCAUGUCUUGAACUAUAUGCAGAAGUGAGAUAGAAUUUGCUGCUUUGUGCUCUCAGGCAGCUGAUUUCGUGUCAUGAACUCGAAAGUUGCAUAUAUUUAGUUCCUCUACACAAGUAGGCACAAACGUCCCUUUUGAUUUAUUUAUUUUGAAUUAGGCCGCGCAAGUAGCAGGCAACAGUUACAAUCGAUGGUGAUGCAGAUUGAAGUAUAGACAAGAUUGCACCUUUAGUAGCAUGAGUAUCAACCAUCAAGUAUGUUUAAUCUCAUUUAUUCAUAAGCUUAAUAUGGUGUAUGGUGAUGCAGAGUUGAAGUACAGUGCAAUCUACACUGGGAUGUCCACAAUCACAAAAGUUUAAUAUGUUACAAAAAUUGCAAAUUUUAUUUUAGAUAAUUGUUGGAUUGAUUAUCACAAAAUUUGCCGCACACGCGGCCUAACUUUGAUCUCAAGGCAGGAUUCUGCUGGUUGGACGAGCUACUAACAAAGACACACUUCUAUUUUGAACUUUUACUUGAAAAAGAUGGACCAUCAGUUACUGAAUAUGUUCGCUAAGCUCUAACAACCUUUUGCUUAUGGUCACCUUGGUUGUUCACAUUGGUGGUGUUGUCUUUUGGUUCAACAUAGUUCAAGUGAAAAUUCAGUGGAACAUGUGGAACAAAGGACGUGGUAUGGAAAGGAAAGCAAAGCCUAAACAGUACAAUGAUGCAGGUUCAGACUUCAUAUGUUGUCUUCCAUACUGCAGGAAUAUGCUAGCAUGGUUGUCUCCUAGAUUUUGAACAUGUCUUUAUUUGUCAUAUAUUGUUGACUUACUGUGUAGUCUGUACUAAUUCUAGGGAGACCGCUUGAUCUCUUAUUGUUCACACUUCAAAAAUUUAUGAUUAUCUUAUUAUUAGUAGUAUCGUCCUUCCAACAUACUAAUUCACAAAUCUUAGUUAAUUAGAAAGGAACUACAUGUUUAUCCAUUCUUUUUCAGAUAUGGUGCUCCUAUAGCUAGGCAAACUAGAUGCAUAUUUCUUUUGGAAAGAAGGGCAGGUGCACUAGAUAAAUGAGAGAUGGUCGGGUGGCAUAGGUGACAAUGUCUUUGUAUUAUCAUCCUAAUAAAAUGUGGUUUUGCUAAUUUAAUGUAUAUUAUUUCACAAAUAUUUGCAAUGGUUAAGAUAGUGCAUAGUGCUAAUGUCGUACCUCAUCUAUUCUAUCUGUGUUGCAUCUUCUCUUUAUUUUGAAUAGAUAGGUUUAUUUUGAUUUACGAACCAACAGUUAACUUCGACUAUUUCUGGAUUUUGAAUGCUAUCUAUGGAGAUCACAUGUGGUUCAUGUAUUGGAAUUGAUGCAACAUUUUAUUUCUAAGUUUUAUUUUAUCUGGGAGAUCCAAUGAUUCAUCUCCCUCUGCAGAGUUGAGUUCAGCAAGAUCAAAAGAAGAUGCACGUCCUGGGCACAAAAGGUCAGUAAGUGUGGGUGCUGAUAUUGGAUCGUCCUGUAUGUCAUUUCGAAAUGAACAAGAGCGUGUUGCUGAAGAAUCGCCUACUGGCCCACACAAAGGACCAUUGCAGAAUAUUGUGAAAGCAUGCUGAUUGUCGAGUGCCUUGAAACCUAAGCAUGCAAUCAAGUACAAAAAGAGAAGCUAUGAGGUGCGCACGGGCAAACAAACAUGAUGUUGAAAACGCAAUCCCUCUCACACAAAAAAAUCCCUCUUAACAAAUUCUCAGUUGGGUCAGCAUGAGUUGCUUAAAUACAUACUAUGGGGUUACAUACAAUAAGGAACCUUAUGGUUAGCCUAGAGCACUACGUAAGAAGCUUCAGAGAUCACAAUAUCAAAUUCGAUAUGGGCAUCAUGUUUAAUUGAUUGCAUUUGCACUUCCUAUGCUCAUAAUAUGUAAGUUUGCUCAUUUUACAUGUUAUUUGUUUUUUUUGUUCCUUGCUCAAGCAACUAGAGAUAAAGGCUAGAAUUAUCAGCCGCUCCCUAAAUGUAUAUAUUAGGUAUUGUGAACAGUCAUAAUUGUUCUAUAACUUAUCUAUUGCACCCUAAUAUAAGUUGGCCUUUAAUUCCA